Long non-coding RNA from Passer montanus (Eurasian tree sparrow), 440 nucleotides. RefSeq lists it as uncharacterized. The record is from RefSeq and is a predicted model, not a curated record. The transcript is spliced from 3 exons. Lineage: Eukaryota; Metazoa; Chordata; Aves; Passeriformes; Passeridae.
CAAACCCAGCUAACUGGUUUUCCGUACAGUAAACAGCCUGGUUCCUAAUGAUUUACUUAUUCUGCAGCUAUGUAGCAGUGUGGGGUUUGGAUUUGCUUCUGAAGAGGAGCUGAGUGCUACAAGAAAGCAAAAGCUGCAGGUCACUGCCCCAAAAGCUUCCUGCUGGACUAGGGAGUUAUCUAAAUGGAAUGCUCAAACAGAGCUGAGAGGAGCAAACCAGAGUAUUGGUUUUUCUGAGCUCACACAGAAAUGCUGCAAGAUCCCACCUUCAGAUGCCAGCCUGUGCCUUUCCCCAGGCUCCCCCUUUCAGGUGUCUGCUCAUGCUUCAUCUGUCACCCCUGAGCACAUGAAAGAAAAAUGCUGCUGAGAGGUGAACAGAUGGCUUCUGUGUGUGUGACUGUGUAAGGAAACCCAUUUCUGCAAACAGGGGAUGUCAGGUG